GUUGUAUGGUUAAGUGACUAAGCGUACACGGUGGAUGCCUUGGCAGUUGGAGGCGAUGAAGGACGUACUAACUUGCGAUAAGCCUAGUCAAGCCAGUAAGAGGCGCUUGAGACUAGGAUUUCCGAAUGGGGAAACCCACCUGCUUGCAGGUAUCGUUAACUGAAUACAUAGGUUAACGAGGCGAACGCGGAGAACUGAAACAUCUAAGUACCCGUAGGAAAAGAAAUCAACCGAGAUUCCGAAAGUAGCGGCGAGCGAAAUCGGAGCAGCCCUUAAGCUUUAGUGUAGUUAGUGGAACAUGCUGGAAAGCAUGACGAAACAGGGUGAUAGUCCCGUACACAAAAACUUAUCUAAAGUGAAAUCGAGUAGGUCGGAGCACGUGAAACUUUGACUGAAUAUGGGGGGACCAUCCUCCAAGGCUAAAUACUCCCAACUGACCGAUAGUGAACCAGUACCGUGAGGGAAAGGCGAAAAGAACCCCUGUGAGGGGAGUGAAAUAGAACCUGAAACCGUGUACGUACAAGCAGUAGGAGCCUACUUGUUGGGUGACUGCGUACCUUUUGUAUAAUGGGUCAGCGACUUAUAUUCUGUAGCGAGGUUAACCAUUUAGGGGAGCCGUAGCGAAAGCGAGUCUUAACUGGGCGCUUAAGUUGCAGGGUAUAGACCCGAAACCCGGUGAUCUAGCCAUGGGCAGGUUGAAGGUUGAGUAACAUCAACUGGAGGACCGAACCCACUAACGUUGAAAAGUUAGGGGAUGACCUGUGGCUAGGAGUGAAAGGCUAAUCAAACCGGGAGAUAGCUGGUUCUCCCCGAAAUCUAUUUAGGUAGAGCCUCGGACGAAUACUUACGGGGGUAGAGCACUGUUAAGGCUAGGGGGUCAUCCCGACUUACCAACCCUUUGCAAACUCCGAAUACCGUAAAGUAAUAUCCGGGAGACACACGGCGGGUGCUAACGUCCGUCGUGGAGAGGGAAACAACCCAGACCGUCAGCUAAGGUCCCAAAGUGUAUGUUAAGUGGGAAACGAUGUGGGAAGGCUAAAACAGCUAGGAGGUUGGCUUAGAAGCAGCCACCCUUUAAAGAAAGCGUAAUAGCUCACUAGUCGAGUCGGCCUGCGCGGAAGAUGUAACGGGGCUAAACAUACCACCGAAGCUACGGCUGCGUACGUAAGUAUGCGGGGUAGGGGAGCGUUCUGUAAGUGGCUGAAGGUGUGCCGGGAGGCAUGCUGGACAUAUCAGAAGUGCGAAUGCUGACAUGAGUAACGACAAGAGGAGUGAAAAACUCCUCCGCCGGAAGACCAAGGGUUCCUAUCCCAUGUUAAUCAGGGUAGGGUGAGUCGACCCCUAAGGCGAGGCUGAAGAGCGUAGUCGAUGGGAAACGGGUUAAUAUUCCCGUACUCGGUAUGAAUGCGAUGGGGGGACGGAGCAGGCUAGGCAAGCAUGGCGUUGGUUGUCCAUGUGAAAGGCUGUAGGCUGGUGACUUAGGAAAAUCCGGGUUGCUAAGGCUGAGAGUCGAGACGAGCCACUAAGGUGGUGAAGUUGUUGAUGCCCUACUUCCAGGAAAAGCCUCUAAGCUUCAGUUCAUACUGAAUCGUACCCUAAACCGACACAGGUGGUCAGGUAGAGAAUACUAAGGCGCUUGAGAGAACUCGGGUGAAGGAACUAGGCAAAAUUGUACCGUAACUUCGGGAGAAGGUACGCUCUUGUUUGUGAAAGACUUGCUCUGUAAGCAAACGAGAGCCGCAGUGACCAGGUGGCUGGGACUGUUUAUUAAAAACACAGCACUGUGCAAAAUCGUAAGAUGACGUAUACGGUGUGACACCUGCCCGGUGCCGGAAGGUUAAUUGAUGGGGUUAGCUUAGGCGAAGCUCUUGAUCGAAGCCCCGGUAAACGGCGGCCGUAACUAUAACGGUCCUAAGGUAGCGAAAUUCCUUGUCGGGUAAGUUCCGACCUGCACGAAUGGUGUAACCAUGGCCACGCUGUCUCCACCCGAGACUCAGUGAAAUUGAAAUCGCAGUGAAGAUGCUGUGUACCCGCGGCUAGACGGAAAGACCCCGUGAACCUUUACUACAGCUUGGCACUGAACAUUGACCCUACAUGUGUAGGAUAGGUGGGAGGCUUUGAAGCAGAGACGCUAGUUUCUGUGGAGCCGACCUUGAAAUACCACCCUUGUAGUGUUGAUGUUCUAACUUAGGCCCCUGAAUCGGGGUUGAGGACAGUGCCUGGUGGGUAGUUUGACUGGGGCGGUCUCCUCCCAAAGAGUAACGGAGGAGCACGAAGGUUUGCUAAGUACGGUCGGACAUCGUACGGUUAGUGUAAUGGUAGAAGCAAGCUUAACUGCGAGACAGACACGUCGAGCAGGUACGAAAGUAGGUCAUAGUGAUCCGGUGGUUCUGAAUGGAAGGGCCAUCGCUCAACGGAUAAAAGGUACUCCGGGGAUAACAGGCUGAUACCGCCCAAGAGUUCAUAUCGACGGCGGUGUUUGGCACCUCGAUGUCGGCUCAUCACAUCCUGGGGCUGAAGUCGGUCCCAAGGGUAUGGCUGUUCGCCAUUUAAAGUGGUACGCGAGCUGGGUUUAGAACGUCGUGAGACAGUUCGGUCCCUAUCUGCCGUGGGCGUUUGAGAAUUGAGAGGGGCUGCUCCUAGUACGAGAGGACCGGAGUGGACGAACCGCUGGUGUUCGGGUUGUGAUGCCAAUUGCAUUGCCCGGUAGCUACGUUCGGAACUGAUAACCGCUGAAAGCAUCUAAGCGGGAAGCAGGCCUCGAGAUGAGUUCUCACUUUGACUUAGAGUCAACUGAAGGGCCGUUGAAGACUACAACGUUGAUAGGCGAGAUGUGGAAGUGCUGUGAGGCAUUAAGCUAACUCGUACUAAUUACCCGAGAGGCUUAACCAUACAACGCCAAAGUGGUUU
Molecule: ribosomal RNA, 2910 nt
Filed under: Pseudoalteromonas sp. M8
Lineage: Bacteria; Pseudomonadati; Pseudomonadota; Gammaproteobacteria; Alteromonadales; Pseudoalteromonadaceae
Description: 23S ribosomal RNA
Rfam family: Bacterial large subunit ribosomal RNA
Source: RNAcentral